RNAcentral lists this ribosomal RNA (465 nucleotides) under uncultured bacterium. Its description in RNAcentral is "partial 16S ribosomal RNA". It matches the Rfam family "Bacterial small subunit ribosomal RNA", at positions 28 to 507 of the family's 1533-position model. The record is from RNAcentral.
GACGAACGCUGGCGGCGUGCUUAACACAUGCAAGUCGAACGGAAAGGCCCUGCUUGCAGGGUACUCGAGUGGCGAACGGGUGAGUAACACGUGGGUGAUCUGCCCUGCACUUCGGGAUAAGCCUGGGAAACUGGGUCUAAUACCGGAUAGGAGCCAUUUUUAGUGUGAUGGUUGGAAAGUUUUUUCGGUGUAGGAUGAGCUCGCGGCCUAUCAGCUUGUUGGUGGGGUAAUGGCCUACCAAGGCGGCGACGGGUAGCCGGCCUGAGAGGGUGGACGGCCACAUUGGGACUGAGAGACGGCACAGACUCCGACGGGAGGCAGAAGGGGGGAAGAUUGCACAAUGGGCGCAAGCCUGAUGCAGCGACGCCGCGGGGGGGAUGACGGCCUUCGGGUUGUAAACUCCUUUCGCUAGGGACGAAGCUUUUUGUGACGGUACCUAGAUAAGAAGCACCGGCUAACUACGUG